GACGAACGCUGGCGGCGUGCUUAACACAUGCAAGUCGAACGAUGAACCCGGAGCUUGCUCUGGGGGAUUAGUGGCGAACGGGUGAGUAACACGUGAGUAACCUGCCCUGGACUCUGGGAUAAGCGUUGGAAACGACGUCUAAUACCGGAUAGGACCUUGGAUCGCAUGAUCUGGGGUGGAAAGUUUUUUCGGUCUGGGAUGGACUCGCGGCCUAUCAGCUUGUUGGUGAGGUAAUGGCUCACCAAGGCGUCGACGGGUAGCCGGCCUGAGAGGGUGACCGGCCACACUGGGACUGAGACACGGCCCAGACUCCUACGGGAGGCAGCAGUGGGGAAUAUUGCACAAUGGGCGAAAGCCUGAUGCAGCAACGCCGCGUGCGGGAUGACGGCCAUCGGGUUGUAAACCGCUUUUAGUAGGGAAGAAGGGCUUCGGCUUGACGGUACCUGCAGAAAAAGGACCGGCUAACUACGUG
Molecule: ribosomal RNA, 472 nt
Filed under: uncultured bacterium
Lineage: Bacteria
Description: partial 16S ribosomal RNA
Rfam family: Bacterial small subunit ribosomal RNA
Source: RNAcentral